UAUCUAUCUGUCACUAUCGUUCCGUAGGUGUUCACCAAUACAAACGUGUGCGUAUGAACGUAUUGGUAACUUCUAUACUUUUAACGUUCUACGUUCCAUUCGUUAGUUCAUUCAUUGCAGUCGUGAUACUCAUUUCAGUGCGUCAAAGUCAGUGUUUCAAGCCAAAAGUUGUUUUUUUUUGCUAAAUAACCUUACGUUGAAUUUAAUAUUUAUGUGUCUAAUAAAAAAAUAGAAACAUGGAUGGAAACAAUGAUAUUGAAGGAUUCGAAAGACGACCAAGAAGAUAUGGUUCACCGAUAGAAAUUGCUGACUUUUAUUCGGAAAGCGAUGAUGAUGAUGUGAAGGAUAUCAAAAUUGAACCAAAUUUUGAUUUAACUGAUCAAAUUCCGUUGAUUUCUUAUCAACUGAAUAGUGGAAUUCCAAAUAUGAAAGAGAAAAACGAUUCGCAGUCACAGCACUAUGAUAUAUCAAAUAUUAAGAUUGACGUCGAUGCAGACCAACCUGGUAUUUCUAUACCGUUGCCUUAUGAUGGAAGUGUAAGCAAUACGAGAUUAAUUUAUCGUAGCUGUGAUCCAAUGCAUUCAAUAUUUACAAAUGAACAAUAUAAACAAAUAAUCAAAAACGUUACCAACGUAACUCAUUUGAUAAACUCAUUGGAAGAAACGGUCGAUAAACAUAUUCGAGGCAUUGAUAGUGAUUCAAGUAAAACAAAUUCAUCAAGUGACGACGAAAGUAGUUCAAGUGAUUCAGAUAGUUCAAGCAGCUCAUCAACAUCUAGUGUGGCCAGUUCAAAAGAUGAUAAAAAAAGAAAACACAUCCGAAGUUCGAAUAGAAAUCGACGCAUCGAUUCCUGUUCAAGAAGUAGUUUGCAAAAUGAAAGAAAUGUGGUCAAUAUUCCAAAACCAACCAGUUUUAAUCAUCAUUUUCAAGUUGACACAAAUAGUCGUAGCGACAUCCCAGAACAUGAAUCGUAUUCAAUACCGAAAAAUACAGAGAAUUUAAAUUCAGAUUCAUCUUCAGGAGAAUGUUUUCAACCACCAGCGGAAAAGCGAAUUCGUGUCGAUGAAACAAAUCAAACAAAUUCCACAUCGGCAAAUGUGCGAAACCAAGGAGAAUCCCAAUUGAAAAACAUCGACAAGACUCUAUUUUUCAAUAGCAUAAAAGCAAAAACUUGUCAAAUUUGUCACCGAUGUUACACAUUAAUGACUGCUCAUUAUAAAAAGGUUCAUCCAAAUCAUGAGGUGCUUGUAUCUAGAAUUUCACCUGAAAUGGCCAAAGAUGUUGAAAAUUUAAACCGAUCGUUCUUAACACCUGAAAAGAAUAUUUUUGCUGCAUUUUGCAUAUUCUGUGAAACUCAGCAUAGUUACCGUUUGCAGUACUGGAUCGAUCAUAUUCGAUCUCAUACGGGCGAGUAUGGAUAUAAAUGCUCAAUUUGUGAAAAAGAUCAUUCAUUCGAUAGAAACAUAUGUUGUGGACAACUACCGAAUAUUAAAUACCCGUUUGACUUACGUUUUGAAGAUUUAACUGCUUUUAUGUGUCGAAAAUGUAAUUUUGUUCAAAUAAAUGAGCAAAAUAUUCAAAAACAUUUGAGAAACGAACAUGAAAUUGAGCACAUCAAUGGCCAUUAUAAGCAGAUCAUUUUGCUAUCAGCACUCAGCAAAACAUUGAACGGUGGACAUCAUUCACCGUAUACACAUUAUUCGGUUUUUCAAAUGUUUUCACCUCGUAAUGUAUAAUUUUAAUGUACACACACCGAUUUUUUUAUGAAUAAAGCAACAAACAUUUAAAAAUGAUAAAUGAUGACUGAGGCUGAAAUCACAAAUAUUGGACCGUCAACGUCAAGCAGCUACCAUAUAAAAGAUGAGCCAGAUUUAAUUGUACUUUCCAGUGAUGAUGAAAAUGACAAAAAACCAAUUCAACAUAGUGGUUACGGCAGGAGCCAUUUAAAUGGAAAAUCAGGCGACAUACAUACUGAUAGUACGCUAAAUAAAGUUACCUGCAACCAACAUAGUGGAAAUAAACAAUAUCAUGAGAUGAUUCAAAGUAUAAAAAAUCUAACAAAUGAAGUGGAAGCACUUCAACAGAUAUAUGAGGAAUACGAUUCCGACAGCAGUUCAAAUAGCGAAAAACACGUUAAAAAUGCAAAAUAUUCGAGUAGUGACGACACCAAUAGCUCUGAUAAGCGACAAAAGAAACAUCGCCGACGACUCAAGAAAUCACAUCGAAAACGAUCUUCUGAUAAACGGUUCAAGACGUAUGAAAAAAAUGGUCGAUACCGAUCGGGUUCGGAAGCAUAUGCCAGCAUGUCGGAAGGUUAUUUGAAUAACGCGAAUCAAAUCUACCAAAAAUUAUCGAAAUCAAUGGGUGCUCAUCAUAAAAAUAUCCAUAAAAACCACAAGGUGUUUGUAUCGAGGCUGUCCGAAGAAAUGGUGAAUAAAGUCAAGAAUGGAUCUUGUGUUGCUGUAAAAUUUCACGAGUCAAAUAUGGAGUGUUUGGCUGCAUAUUGCUUUUUUUGUGAAUCUUUUAAACAAUUUCCAUGCCAUAUUUGGAUCCAACACAUUCAGAUGCAUACCGGUGAAUUUUCCUUUCAGUGUAAAGUUUGCCGAAAGUUUUGCCGUCCUCAUUGUACUCAUUUUCUUUAUGCAAAGAUGAAAUAUAAAAUAAAUUUUCGCAACAAAGAUCUCAACGCAUUUAUUUGUAAAAAGUGCAAUUUCACUCAAAUAAAUGAAGAAAACAUUCGCAAACAUCUUAAAAAUGAACAUAGAUGUGGAGAUAUUGACCAUCUAUAUGAUCAAGUUACAUUGUUGACCGCAUUCAGCAGUAUUAAAACACCAAUCUUACAA
Contarinia nasturtii (swede midge) is the source of this 2843-nucleotide RNA transcript. RefSeq lists it as uncharacterized. The transcript has 4 exons. NCBI's taxonomy places the organism in Eukaryota, Metazoa, Arthropoda, Insecta, Diptera, Cecidomyiidae. The record is from RefSeq and is a predicted model, not a curated record.